CAACUGACAAGGAUAAGGUUAAUUCAACUGCCAAUGUUUCAGAUACUGCUGGAAAGGACCAUGAGUUGAAGGUGAAAGAAUGCAUAGACAAGAGUGCAGCUUGUGAUCCUGAUCAGGAUGAUCCAAAUAUGGGGCAGCUGAUUGAUGUUCAAGAACAGGCUGCUUGUGUUGAACAGCUUGGAAGAGAAGAGACGAAGGCCAUAGAACAGAACUCUGAAACAGUUUGUGCAAGCAGAAAAAAAGAUACCUUAUUAAUUGAUGGAGAGCAA
Molecule: unclassified non-coding RNA, 269 nt
Filed under: Hevea brasiliensis (rubber tree)
Lineage: Eukaryota; Viridiplantae; Streptophyta; Magnoliopsida; Malpighiales; Euphorbiaceae
Source: RNAcentral